AACUCAGCUGGCUAGAGUCACAGCCUUCCAAGCUGUUGGUCGCGGGUUCGAGUCCCGUC
Molecule: transfer RNA, 59 nt
Filed under: Bacteroidota bacterium
Lineage: Bacteria; Pseudomonadati; Bacteroidota
Description: tRNA-Gly
Rfam family: tRNA
About the family: Transfer RNA (tRNA) molecules are approximately 80 nucleotides in length. Their secondary structure includes four short double-helical elements and three loops (D, anti-codon, and T loops).
Source: RNAcentral